Molecule: ribosomal RNA, 600 nt
Filed under: uncultured bacterium
Lineage: Bacteria
Description: bacterial SSU rRNA
Rfam family: Bacterial small subunit ribosomal RNA
Source: RNAcentral
GCCUUUACUGACGCUAAAGCUCGAAGGUGCGGGUAUCGAACAGGAUUAGAUACCCUGGUAGUCCGCACGGUAAACGAUGGAUGCCCGCUGUUUGCGAUAUACUGUGAGCGGCCAAGAGAAAUCGUUAAGCAUCCCACCUGGGGAGUACGCCGGCAACGGUGAAACUCGAAGGAAUUGACGGGGGCCCGCACAAGCGGAGGAACAUGUGGUUUAAUUCGAUGAUACGCGAGGAACCUUACCCGGGCUUGAACUGCAGGAGAAGGAAGCAGAGAUGCUGACGCCCCUCGGGGCUCCUGUGGAGGUGCUGCAUGGUUGUCGUCAGCUCGUGCCGUGAGGUGUCGGCUUAAGUGCCAUAACGAGCGCAACCCUUUCCGUCAGUUGCCAUCACGUGAUGGUGGGCACUCUGUCGGUACUGCCACCGUAAGGUGUGAGGAAGGUGGGGAUGACGUCAAAUCAGCACGGCCCUUACGUCCGGGGCUACACACGUGUUACAAUGGCGCGUACAGAAAGCAGGUGUGCCGCAAGGCGCAUCGAAUCCUGAAAGCGCGCCGUAGUUCGGAUUGGGGUCUGCAACCCGACCCCAUGAAGCUGGAUUCGCUA